RNAcentral lists this ribosomal RNA (586 nucleotides) under Rhodotorula taiwanensis. Its description in RNAcentral is "partial large subunit ribosomal RNA". It matches the Rfam family "Eukaryotic large subunit ribosomal RNA", at positions 67 to 664 of the family's 3401-position model. Lineage: Eukaryota; Fungi; Basidiomycota; Microbotryomycetes; Sporidiobolales; Sporidiobolaceae. The record is from RNAcentral.
UAAGGGGAUCCCUAGUAGCGGCGAGCGAAGCGGGAAGAGCUCAAAUUUAUAAUCUGGCACCUUCGGUGUCCGAGUUGUAAUCUCUAGAAGUGUUUUCCGCGUUGGACCGCACACAAGUCUGUUGGAAUACAGCGGCAUAGUGGUGAGACCCCCGUAUAUGGUGCGGACGCCCAACGCUUUGUGAUACACUUUCGAAGAGUCGAGUUGUUUGGGAAUGCAGCUCAAAUUGGGUGGUAAAUUCCAUCUAAAGCUAAAUAUUGGCGAGAGACCGAUAGCGAACAAGUACCGUGAGGGAAAGAUGAAAAGCACUUUGGAAAGAGAGUUAACAGUACGUGAAAUUGUUGGAAGGGAAACGCUUGAAGUCAGACUUGCUUGCCGAGCAAUCGGUUUGCAGGCCAGCAUCAGUUUUCCGGGGUGGAUAAUGGUAGAGAGAAGGUAGCAGUUUCGGCUGUGUUAUAGCUCUCUGCUGGAUACACCUUGGGGGACUGAGGAACGCAGUGUGCCUUACGGCGGAUUUCUCGAGAUCUUCACACUUAGGAUGCUGGUGGAAUGGCUUUAAACGACCCGUCUUGAAACCACGGGACCA